UAUGUGCACCAAAGCUAUUUAUGACUAAGGCAGUACAAAGAGUUUAGUAUAAAAAGGGCUGACUGACAGAAAUCUGUGUUCUUUUUCACUUUUGUGCCUUUGCUUUGUUGUCCUUUUCUUUUUGGACUUGUUGGUGAUUCUCAGCUGCAGACAGCUUUAGAGAAUUUCACUUGCUGAAGACACCAUCACCGACUGGUAUUGCAAACGACCAACUUGUGGCUGAACCUCUGCAAAUUAGACAACCAAUCACUCAUCAGUCAAGUUACAAAUCAAGGGAGUCAUGAUGGUUCAGUGCACCUGUUUGCUGCUGCUGCUGCUCUCCACUGCUGUGUUCUCACAAACUUACGACGACUUCAUAGUGAAACACACGCUUGUGAAGGCAAAGAAUAACAAAGGUUGUGCUACUUUGAUGAGAGCUGUCAAUGCACUGGAAAAUUCAAAAAAGAACACUCCAGGAAAGUGCAAGGAAAAGAAUACUUUUAUUAACGAAAGUGACGAGCAAAAAAUUCAGGACAUGUGUAAAGCUAAUUCUGACAAGAAAUUUGUUAACUUACCAUAUAAUUGUUUUGACUGUGUGAUAAAAGAUAUAAAGAAACCUUGUUCAUACACAAAAGAAAAACCUAAUGAGAAAAAGAUGAUAAAAUGUGAAAAAGACAAAUCCAAGAAUAAGAUUCUACCUGUACACCUUGAGGCUGGUAUCGUUUAGGAGAAGACUCAGCAGUUGAUUCCAGUUUAAAGCUGCUGGGUUGUCUUAACUACAUGUUCAAAAGAAUUUCUUAAAAUGUGUUGAUAAUCAUGUGACUGUCUUCUCACAAACAUGAAGAGGAAUUCUAAGGAUUUGAGAUGAUCACAUGAAAUAAAGCAAAAUAAAAUUCUUUCAUCCAAUUUAA
Oreochromis aureus is the source of this 890-nucleotide long non-coding RNA. RefSeq lists it as uncharacterized. Lineage: Eukaryota; Metazoa; Chordata; Actinopteri; Cichliformes; Cichlidae. The transcript is spliced from 3 exons. The record is from RefSeq and is a predicted model, not a curated record.